AUAUUAUGUUAAUAUUUACACAGUUUAAAACAUAGUGUUUUAUUUUAAAGUGAGAAAAGGAACAUUAAUAGGCAUGAUUGUACAGCUAGAAUAUAUAUAGUAAGAUACCAUUUUUAUUCUUCUGGGGCUAGAUACAAUAACAUGAGGUUCCAUAUACAAGACUAUAUGAAAAAUUGGAUUCUGUCCUUAUAUUUCCCUCCUUCAUGUGGUCUCAAAAAUAAAACAUUAUAUAAUCAUAGAGGGAAAUACAUUCAUAUUUUCCAAAGUAAGUUGUGGAAUGGAUUCCUACCCCAGCACUCCAAAAAGAAAAUUACCUACAGUAGAAAUUCUUAUAUACCUGUUAGUUUAUAUCAUAUUGUAAAUGUAUUUGUAGUGGUAUGAUCAUUUUUAAUGUUUUCCUUCUAUCAAAGUUAGUACAGAUUCAGGGAUUUUAAUUUCUGGCAUGUGGGCUACCAGUCCAUCUAAAAUGGUACAUAGGGUUUAGAGCAUUUUAGAAAUCCCUUGAAGGACUCUGCAUACAUAUAAGUAAAUGUUAAAUAUUAGUAUUUCCUUUCACAUUUAAUGGAAACAUUUUAGCUUCACCAUGAAAUUAUUACAUGUUAAGUGAUAUUGGUUCACAGAUUUAACUUUAGUUUGUAUAAUUACUGACCAUAUUAUUCAUUCUUCAUGUUUAAUUGGCAUAAUGCAUUGUGUUACUUGGGGAUUUAAAUUGUGGACAUGCAAAAGAGCCAAUGCAGUAAUAAACAUGAAGCAUAUGUUUUGCCCACAGGCAUCCUCGAGAAUGCAUAGGCAGGAAAAUCUUGGUUUUGUUUUUGUUUUUAAUUUUUGUGGAUGUUUCUUGGGGUUUUGUUUUGAUUUUUUGUUUUGGUUGGUUUUGGGUUUGUUUGUUUGUUUGUUUUUAAAACCCAUGGAUCUCAGUAUUCAGUUACUCUCCUGGAAGUACCAAAUGAAAGCGGGUGUGAGUGUAAGGAUCCAGAAGUCCAGCUGUGUGAGCAGCUCUCCAGCCCUUUCUGAUGACCAGGGCACAGAUUUCUGGAAAAUCCAUCACUGUGUGCUAUUUUUAUGGGAGGACCUGUAGUGCUGAGCCCCAGAGGAAAUAAUGGAUGUGACUGACAUUAAACAUGUUAUUAUUCUGCCUCCUCUUUAUCAUCAAAAUGUGCCUGGAAAAGGGUUAUAUAAGUGGAAAAUAACAUCCAAACGUUCAGAAUAGAGUCAUUAGGAAUUUAAUAAUCUUCGAGUGAGAAGUUGACACAAAUACUUAUAUUUCCAAUGGAUCUCAUCAUUCUUUCCUUAGCUGUGGGAAUGGGAGAUUGGCUUAUAACACCUUUUGCUAGCCUCUGUGAACUUAUACAUACUAUUUGGUUUCAUUCCGUUGUAACUCUUCAGCAAAGCAGGCCAAGGUCCAUGGACUUUUUAUUUUAAUUAUAGAAUUAUAUUACUUACUACAUUCAAAUGAAAACAAAUCCAAUUGGUUAAAGUGGAUUUUAUUCUUUUACUGUCUCAAACAAUGGGUGGCAGACUCUGACGUGCAAUGCUGACUACAAUGGGCAAUAAUAAUUGUUUGGAAGAUGCCCACUGAGUCAUAAGGCAGCUGCUAGUGUGUACAACUUUGUUCUUAAUUGGUUUCGCAGUAAGAUUCUAUAGUCUACUGACAAUAUGAUUUUAAUGUAAGUGAUUGUAUAUAAUCUCAAGGAUUGUCAGCGGGGAUAACUUCAGUGGGAGAUGUUUGAGGGUCAGGAAAAUCUGUGUUCUCUUCCAGGUUCCAGCACAUAUUAUAUAGAGAAACCAUAGGCACGAUGCUGAACUACUUCACUUCAAACUGUGCUACAAAGUGCUAAUGAUCGCUAUCACAGGGUGUUCUUUUGUACGAAGAAAAAUUUACAAGUGAUAAAAUCUAAGAUGCCUUUUAACCUCAUCACCAAACCUGUAAUCAAAUUAUGUAUCAAAAAGUCACCCCCACAUACACCAACUCAACUUUCCCCCCCUCUAAGCACAUAAAUAUAUUUUUAUAGAAAACAGAUCUACAGAAAAUAAACAAAAUCUGCUGUUAUGAGAGGAGUACAAUUUGCACAUGCCAUUGAAAAUUACUAAUCAGAAGAAGAUUAAGCAGGGUCUUUGCUAUACAAAAGCAUUUUCCACUAAUUCUGCAUGCAUAUUUAUAAGACGUGAACUCAGUGGAUUUAUUCUCUUGGUAUAAAGGCAUCUGAUAUUUUAGAUGUACCCAUGUUU
Molecule: long non-coding RNA, 2229 nt
Filed under: Mus musculus (house mouse)
Lineage: Eukaryota; Metazoa; Chordata; Mammalia; Rodentia; Muridae
Description: long non-coding RNA chr6:103730300-103732529
Source: RNAcentral